RNAcentral lists this long non-coding RNA (598 nucleotides) under Brassica rapa (field mustard). RNAcentral's name for it is "long non-coding RNA (BRAP_LNC008910)". Lineage: Eukaryota; Viridiplantae; Streptophyta; Magnoliopsida; Brassicales; Brassicaceae. The record is from RNAcentral.
UAAAUUUUAUGACUCUGACCGGGUUGUCUCUAGCCCAUCACGUAGCGCUUCCGGACCAUGGUGUUGGGUUGGAUGGUCAGUCAUGUUCUUGUUUGAUUGUUGGCUGGCCGGUUGGCCUUUAAUCUCUAACCCUUGGUUUGGGUCGUCUGUCGGUCAUGUUCUUGUUUGAUUGUUGGCCGGUGGGUCGAUCUAUGCCUAGGAUGGUUCGGGGGUGUUACAGAAUGUAGAAACCCGUUAAAAAAAAAACAAAAAACAAAAAAAAGAAAAGAAAAAGAGAAUAGUCGAGUAUCUUUGUGGUGGUCAAGGCACGGUCAAUAAGGAUCGAUCGAGAACCUUUGAAGUAGAGGUGGGCGAAGAAGUGAUCGUUAGUGAACUAUGAUUCGAAUAAGUUGCUCACCCAUAGUUAGAAGAUGUCUUAGAUUGUUUAGACGGACGUUUUGGAAGCAUAACAUUUUUGGAAGCACGACGGUUUAGAAGCUUGACGUUUUGGAAGAAUGACGUUUCUUCAACACGAAUUUUUCGCGAAACUUCGUAUCAGCGGAAUAUUAUUUCGAAGACAUUGGAAACCUGACGGGAAUUAAGCAUGACGGGAAGCACG